UUUCAUACAUUAUAUUAAUUUACUUUUAUGUGGUGCUGAGGAUCGAACCAGUGCCUCACACAUGCUAGGCAAGCACUCUGCCACUGAGCUCUGGCCCCAGCCCAGUAGUGAACAGUAUUUUAUAGAAGUUCUGCACUCUGCCCGGAUGGCCACAUGGUUAAGCAGUUAGUGAGCAGGUCUGGUCCCCACUCAGGAGGAGAAACAUCAGGUUUUAGAUGGACAGGAAUGUCCCACGAUGUGUUAGUCACACACCAUCUUGCCUUCCCCAGGUAGAGCGGGAUUCCCUGAGGGCAGAGACUGGCUGUCUUGUUCACAGCUCCAUGUUCAGAACACAUAGUAGGUGCCAGGUAAUUACCGAGCGGUGAUGGAUGGAGAGGCUCCAGUGAGCUCUAGAGAAUUAAACACUGAAUCAGCAGGUAUGGGGGGGCAACUUCUGGUCCAUGGUAGGCACAACAGAGGUCCCCUCAGAUGCCACAGCUCCAAGGAACCGAUCACCCUUCUAGCUAAAAGGUUGAAGAGACCACGUCGGUACUCCUCUUCCUGAGUAACAGAAACUCCAAUUUUCUGCUGGAUACAUGACAACCUGAAAUAAAGACCACGUUUAUCAGCCUCUCUUGGGGGGCUCUGUGGCCAGGUGACUAAGUUCUAGAUGAUUGGAUGCAAGCUCUAGGAAGAACCUAUUAUCAUCUCCUCUUCCUUGGUUCUACUGGCUGGAUUGCAGAUUAAAUGGCUGGAGCUCCAGCAGCAAUUUUUGCUGUAAAACUUUGCCCUCUUCUCGCUGCUCCCCGACUCUAGCAUGGGCGGACUUUAGGCUGUGUGUAGAUACUGACCUCUCUGGUUUUGAAGGCUGCUCCCAUCUGGCCCGUGGCUGGGUCUGCCUUCCUCUGUCUUGGUCAGGCCACUCCCAUUUCAACUCUCUGUCCCAGGACGGAGUGUGGUCUCCGGCUCUUCUCCUCCUUCUGCCUCUUCUGUUCCUGCUGCGUGUGCUGUGACCCUGUCUGUGGUCUGUCUACCUCUCCCUCAUUCUGUUUCUGCUUUGUUCCUAUUUCUUUCUCUGUGUUCUCUUUUCUUGUGUCCCUGUCCCUGUGGCCCUAUGUCCCCGGUCCCUGUUCUCUGUCUCUGUUUCUCUCUCUCCCUUAGUUAUGGUGACCAUAUGUAGAAUAUAAAAAUACAGGAUGUUGGUUAAAUCCUAAUUUCAGACAAGCCACCAACACAUGUGUUAGUAUAACUGUGUCCCAUGCAGUACUGGGGACACAGUUGCACUAACAGCGUUUCGUCGUUUGCCUAAAAUCCAAAUAUAGCUGGAUGUGUCACAGCAUGUAUCUGGCAACCUCCUGCCCGUGCUCUGUGGGCAGCGGCUCCGCGGGGUCAUGAGUCUGAACACAGUGGCUGUCAUCAGAGGUGAGAGAGGAGGCCCCUGAGUCCUGCUGUUCCCAGAGCCUCCCCGACCCUGGUGCCCGCCUGUCCACUGCUACUGGGUCAGAAGUGCACGCCUCUCCUCAGUCCUCUGUCCCUGGCCGCUGACCCGAGUCUUAGGUGACGCAGUUGGCCACCAGCGGGGUCUGCUCUGACUCCUGCUUUCCCCUGGGUAAUGCCUCCGUGGGGCGACCAGAGCUGGUCAUCAGGGUCUGGUGGGGCUGUGGCCACCUUGCUGGCUGCCCGUCUGGUUUCUCCCGCUGCACAAGGGCCUCUUUAUCCUCGGGCUGUGCUGGAGGCCUGCCCUCCUCCUGGGCCCGUCUCCGCGGUCACUCAGGUGGCCCCACCCUGGACCUCAACGUGCAUUUUCCUUGGGCUCUGAAGGUGACGUUCAAGUGCAGCCCUGGCUUCCCCCUCAGCCGGGGCUGAAGCACCCCUUUCUGGGCCUCGAUUCAGGAAGAGCGUCGAAUGAGGACUUGUGAGGUUGUCACCAAGGGAGGAUCUACCAGUCCCUCUCCGUCUGUCUGCUGUCUCUACCCGUCCGUCUCUCUCGGUGGUAAUCUGCUCACCUCCAGAGGCACCGAGACGGGUUGCUGGGUUCAGUGUGAGUGGAGACAUCUCCAUUGGACCUGGCCCGCGUCUUUGGGCUCCGCAGGAAGAGGACCUUGAAGAAGCAUGGAGUGUGGUGGGGACAUGCUGGUGCCCCAGGACACAUGGCAGAGGCCUGGGGAUGGAGGCAGGGAGGGAAGCAGCCAGUAGCUGCACGAUGGCUGGCCAGUGACCUCCCAGGGUGACCAGGGUUCCUGGCGGUGGGGAACACGGGAGCCAGGGUAGACCUGCCUCAGAGCCGCUCCAGGAGAGGGAGCCAGAGCCGGCUUCGCUCCCUGCGCUCGGGGCUGCUUGUGGGUGUUACCCCUGACUCUGUCCUCUGCCCAGGCUGACAAGCCCCAGGGCCCAACACCGCAGGUGCCCACAGGAAGUGGCCUCCUCCAGCCAGGGGGUGAGGGCCGAGGGGGUGGCUGGGCACAGGGCAUCUGCUGCACAUGGUUGUACCCUUCUUGCUUUUCAAUAUGCCAGACUCCAUGCGAGGCCCUCGUAGGCGCAGACGUGCUCGGCGAGCCCAGGGAGGACAGAAGUGCCACUGUUGGCACCAGGGGACCGCUGAACCUGCAGGACAGGCGGCCAUGCAGGGUCUCUGCCCAGCCCCCCAGAGGUCCUCUGGGCCCUGCCAGAUGACAAGGCCCUGCCAGGCUCCUGUCCCCAUUAUUGCAUGGGACACAGUUAUACUAACACAACAUGUUUGUGGCUUAUCUCACUCCCCUGCUCUCGGCUGGUGCUUUCUGGAAGCACCUCUCAAAUAAAGCCCUUGUGCCCAAAUAUUUGUCUGAGGGUGUUGUUCUUAAGGAUUUCCACUGUGGCAGGAUAACAGACCCCGAAGAUGCCCGAGGCACAUGCUUCUUCGCCCUUUCCUCCUCUCCUGGCCAGAAUGUGGGGGCAAUGGCUGGAACUGGGAGCAACUCUUUUAGACCAUAAGGCAAAGCACUAAAUGGAACCAGAGAAUCAAGACUAAUCAGAAAACUGAGAAUGAGGCUCAGGAGAGAGGUGGCAACGAAGCAUUGGAGAGACUGGAUAUCACAGCGAAGCACAUUCUGGAAAGGCUGCGGCUGCUGUGUCGGCUGGCGCUGCAUCCCUUCUCGCCUUGUCUACUUGCUGGCGGUGCCACCCUGGGUACCGCACUUGGCCAUCUGAGCAGUGGGGCAGUGACAGAGCCGGCCUCAUGCUCUGUUAGUGAGGACAUGUGUUGAUGCAUAUAAAGCAUCUGGAAUAUUCCCUGCACACAGUAGGUGCUUUGUAUUUCCUUCUCUCCAUCACUAGAUGGUUCUCGAGCCCUAAAAGUCACUGCAGUUACCAAAACACUUUAUUGUCAUGAAGCUCAAUUUCCAGUGUGGGGAAGAGGACAAGAGAUGGUGACGUGAGGGGACAGGCAGAUGAGGAAGGGAACCGGAGGUUAAGGGAAUCAAUCUAUAAAGGGGGCCCCUGUGCUGACCCCCACAUCUUUCUUCUCCUAGAAGCAAUUUACCUGCACCCUGCCCGGCCUCAGUGGACAGGACCUGUCACAUUCCUCAGCCAACUACCUGUUCACUGCAGGGGAAAUGCAGGCCCAAGUCACCCUGAAGGUCACCAGAUCCUGAAACUCUGGGAGAUAAGGAUAGCUCCUCACAUCAGAAAAUCUGUAAGAAUGUGUGAUAAAGAAUCCGGUUAGAACCAGUCAGCUGGGGCCAAGGUGACCUAGACUUGUCACGGCAAUGGGGACUUGAAGUCUGAUGUCACCUUGCUGUCAGUCAAAAGUCAAAAAAUGGACUUGGUGGGGGUCUCUGGAAACUUCUCUGGGAUCCCCAAUAAAGCUGGAGUGCAGCAGAGGCAGGCUGACCCUCUCCUCUCGGAGCAGACCCCUCUCUCCCUUGAGAUGCCCUCUUUCCCUUUCCCCAGCCCUUCAAGAGACCCCUACUCUGAGCACGUGUCUGGAAGCUUUGUGACUUCAUUGCAGGAAUCGGGGUUUGCAGGGGGGUCUUCAACUGACUCCGGUUCCUGGAGACCCCCGCUCUGUAGCAGUCACAGCCUCAUUGUAUCCAACUUUGGGAUUUCAUCAGGAAUUAGUUGUGGUCAUUUAAAAAUAUGUCUACAGAUUCGUUGGUGCUUCUCCUGGGGCUGGGUGAGCUGGAGCCUGAAAAGCGUGAGGCGGAAGAGGGCUGCUGGGUGACUUCUGAGGCUGGUCUGCAGGAGCCGAUUCACUCUGCCUGAGCCAGGUCCGUGGCCGGAGUCCACCAUGCUGUGAGGAAGCCCAAGUCACCCACCCGGGGAGGCACACAGAGAAAGGAAGAAGCCUGCUGCCCCCAGGGCCCCAGGCCCCGCUGACUGCCACCAUGCGGAAGUCCCCAGCCAGAGGGCCAGCCACAGCCUCUCUGCAUUCCUGUCCCACAGAAACUAGCAGAAGAAAUGAUUUUUUUGUUGUUUUAAGCUCCGUAAUUUUGGGGUUUGUAUACAGUCAGAGAGUCCAGAACAGUCAUUUAACCAAAGCGAUUUGAAAACCGCAGAAGGGCUCACCGCUGGUGAGGUGCCUCUCAGAGAGCUCCUCAGAGCCCCAAGCCCUGGGGAAGCUUCCAGCAUUGCCCGGUGGGGGGGCGGCCUGGACCAGGACUGCUGCCAGGGCGGGAAGAGCAGGCAGGUUGGAGACAAGUGGGGACAUUUAAAUGAACAGUCGGGAACAGGAGGAUGCGAGGACAAGCCCGGGAGGGAGUUUAGGGUGACCCCAAGUUUCUUGCUUGGGAAACACGAUGGGUGGUAGGACGGUUCCCAAGACAGGGAAAAGCUGCUCCUGGGAGAAGAUGGUCCAAGAGUCCACCUGGCAAUGCACACUCCUCCUGAGCAGCCAGCCCCCCACCACGGCCAUCGGCCAUCAAGCAGGAAGGAAGAGGGCCCCCAACCCACUUCCUUAACCCUGAUGCUUUGUGUCUCGGCCACCAGAGGGCGCCAACGCCGGGCGGUUCUGUCCACUCCGGCUGCUCCUGCGUCACUCUGAGCUCCCCGAGGCCCCCACGAGGUCUGACCACUACCCCGGGCGCCAGAAAAGGGCUGCUGUUGGCUUAGUUGACCCCUCAGUGCUGACCAGAAAGUCUCCUCCCACAACUCCCCACCCGAGCCCCAGCACCCGCACUCCUGGGGAUGUCCUUUAUUCAGCUUGCACGGCCAGCCUUCGGUGACAAACCAGAAAAGUUCGCCUCUGAUACUCGGGCACUCUGCCUUGCUCUCCUCAGUGGCCGCAGUCACCUGCGCCCCUCUCUGUUGGUCCCUCUCCUGGCGGUACUUCAGCUGCCACUGGCCCUUGCCUGUCUCCUGGGGCUGUCCCCUCCCUGCCUAGGUCUUCCUUCACGGGACUCCAGGCCCGGAGCUGGCUUCCCCAGGCCUGUGCCUGAGGCUGACUUCCAAGCUGGAUCCUCCAAGGCCGAGAGUCCCAGAGCCCUAGGGCCCGGGAGCAGAAGGGACCAAGGCUCCAGGUUUCUGCGAAUGUCCCAUGGGGAAGAGAUUAUUUGGCGAUAGAAUCCGUCUGUUCCUAAAAGAACCAAGACUCUAGAAAUCGCAGAGCCCUCUGCCCUGGUGAAGAUGGUUCCCAGACUGUGGGCGCUCCACUUCCUCCCGCUCAGGGCUUUGCUACCCCCUGGUUUUCCCAGGGUCACAACGGCUCCUGUUGCUGGUCCCUCUGGCUCAACCCUUGAUUGAAGCGUUUUCCUGGUUUGGGUUUGUUUUGUUGUUUGUUGUUGUUCUUUUCAUAGCCUGAAGACUCCUUAGGGCAAGAACCACUUUUUAUCCAUCCCGAGUCCUAGAGCCAGGCCACCCACCCUCCCCAGCCUCCCCAGUACAACCAGCCACAGCGCAGCACGCACGUGCGCACACACAUGCACACACAUGCACACCCGCGCACACACACACGGCCUCACUCAACUGGAGGCUCACAAAAAGAGGUUGUGUUUGUUUAUUUUACCAAUUCAUGGCACUGUGGGAGAAAACAUAGCAAUAUAACCAAAUUUUCAUGAACAAGUGCUUGCUGUUUAUUCUAAAAAUCUCCUUUCUUGGGGAGUACAAAUUUUUUGUGUUAAGUAAUAGUGAAAAUAUUUAUUUAGUGUUAUUUUAGCUUAAGAUCUUUACUGGGCAAUGUGAAGAGUAGACCAUCUUGUGUUGGUCACCUGAUCAUUGGUUUUUAAGAAUUUUACUGGGUUCGAGAAACCCCGGAGACUGGGGGCCAUCGCCUCACCACACCUAGCACAGUCCCUAAAGUAGAGCCAGAAAACACCGAGCUGCCCAGUGACACAGUUUCACUUCUAGGUACACACCCAGGAGAAUUGAAAGCAAGAUACAAAAACCCCAUACAGGACCGUCCAGUGCAGCAUCAUUCACGAUCACGAAACAGUGUCGAUGAUCCAAAUGUGCAUCACAGGACGAACGGACAAGUGAUGAUAUCCCACGCAAUGGCAUGGUACUUGGCCUUGGAGAAGAAGGAUUUAGACCUCGGACUGUCCCACAGAAGACCCUCCAGUGCAGCCUACAUUCACAUGGAUUCCCACAGUGGGCCAACCUCCAAAAACAAGGCAGAUAUUGUUGGGCUGGUGGAGUAGAGGCCUGCAGGUGGUGGAAUCAUCCUUUCCCACUUCUUUGGAAGAGCCUAAGAAUGAAGCUCGUGCAGAACAAGGAACACCUGGAGAUAUGCACAUCCUGACAAAAGCACUGGAGUCCCUGGAUCAAACUGUGCCUGAAGCCAUCACAUUUUUAGACUUAAACCAAUAAAUUCCUUUUUGCUGCUUUAAA
Non-coding RNA from Ictidomys tridecemlineatus (thirteen-lined ground squirrel), 6777 nucleotides. The record is from RefSeq and is a predicted model, not a curated record. NCBI's taxonomy places the organism in Eukaryota, Metazoa, Chordata, Mammalia, Rodentia, Sciuridae.